RNAcentral lists this ribosomal RNA (421 nucleotides) under uncultured bacterium. Its description in RNAcentral is "bacterial SSU rRNA". It matches the Rfam family "Bacterial small subunit ribosomal RNA", at positions 358 to 796 of the family's 1533-position model. The record is from RNAcentral.
GGAAUAUUGGACAAUGGGGGCAACCCUGAUCCAGCCAUGCCGCGUGAGUGACGAAGGCCUUAGGGUUGUAAAGCUCUUUCACCGGUGACGAUAGUGACGGUAGCCGGAGAAGAAGCCCCGGCUAACUCCGUGCCAGCAGCCGCGGUAAGACGGAGGGGGCUAGCGUUGUUCGGAAUCACUGGGCGUAAAGCGCGCGUAGGCGGCUUAUCAAGUUGGGCGUGAAAGCCCGGGGCUCAACCCCGGAAAUGCGCCCAAAACUGGUUGGCUAGAGACCGAGAGAGGGUGGUGGAAUUCCCAGUGUAGAGGUGAAAUUCGUAGAUAUUGGGAAGAACACCAGUGGCGAAGGCGGCCACCUGGCUCGGAUCUGACGCUGAGGCGCGAAAGCGUGGGGAGCAAACAGGAUUAGAUACCCGAGUAGUCC